GGCCUUCGGCGCCCGCUCGGCUCCCCACCCCGCAGGGAGGCCCCGGCAGCCCCGGCUCCCCAGGACCGGGCUCGCGGAGCACCUGGUCACGGCCGAUGGCGUGGGGGAACCUUCUGGAAGCGGUCCGGCUGGGGCUGGCACUGGCCCCCUCUGCCCGGCGGCAGCUGGAGUGUGACCCGGGCUCGGGGGGGCCUUUCUCCAGCUCUGACGCCCGCCUCUGCGCGGGGGGAGGGGUGCCGUGCUGGCCAAGGCAGGAGCCAUCUGCCUAGAGGAAUGACCUUUCCCGCUGCGGCCCUGUCCUCAACCCGGGGCGCCUGGAGAAAGCUGGGAAGGGGAAGUGACAGCAAAAGGUCUUCAAAGCCUGGCAGAGGGAAGCCAGGUUGCCUGUUGGAGUAUUUUUCUCGAGAACCUGCUGUUCUGAUCCACCCCCUGCAAGUUAAAAAACGUGGCUGGGGGGAAGCGGAUUUGGCCCAAUGGAUAGGGUGUCUGCCUACCACAUGGGAGGUCCAGGGUUCAAAUCCACAGCCUCCUGACCUGUGUGGAGCUGGCCCACGUGCAGUGCUGAUGUGUGCAAGGAGUGCUGUGCCAGGCAGGGGUGUCCCCCACGUAGGGGAGCCCCACGCACAAGGAGUGUGCCCUGUAAGGAGAGCAGCCCCGCGGGACAAAGUGCAGCCUGCCCAGGAGUGACACCACACACAUGGAGAGCUGACGCAGCAAGCUGACGCAACCAAGAGAGACACAGAUUCCCAGUGCCGCUGACAAGAAUGCAAGCGGACACAGAAGAACACACAGCGAAUGGACAGAGAGAGCAGACAACUGGGGUGAGGGGAGAGAAAUAAAUAAAAAAAUAAAUCUUUAAAAAAAAAUACGUGACUGGGAGGAAGCUGUGUGUGGAAUUCAGGUUUGUCUUCUGCCCGUGUGGACGGGAGAGAUGGACAAGACUUCUGCCCCAAGGAAGCGCAUUUUGGAUCUUUGGUUUCUGUUUUCCGUUUAGCCCCAAAGUGGUGGAGUCCCUUCACCUCCCAGGACCUCAGUUUCCCCAUCUGUCAGAGUCAGCCUCCCUGGGUCACAGGCGAUGUGCCUGUUUCCCAGGGGCCAGGUGGGGGCCAGGCCUGGCGGGUCCCGCUGGCUGGGAUGGGACUGGAAUCUGACCCCAAGACGCCCUUGCUGGUUCUAAUCGACCUGUGAUCCACACGCCGUCAAAUUCACUCUAUAGAGGAAACGAUCCCGGGGUUUUAGCAUAUGCAGUUGUGCGCCCACCACCCCCAAUUCCAGAACAUCUCCUCACCCCAAGAGGAAGCCUCGGCCCGUUAGCAGUUCCUGCCCAGCCCGUGGUGGGCGCUCACCCACCUUCAGUGACUUGCCUCUUCUGAACAUGUCCUCGUAAUGGAAGCACACGCGGCGCUUUCACUGAGCAGAGUGGUUUUGGGGCUGAUCCACGUUGCCGCACGUCUCAGCCGGCAUCCCUUUUUGCAGCUGAAUGAUACUCCACGAUGGCCCAGUUUGUUUCCCCC
This 1514-nucleotide long non-coding RNA is filed under the name Dasypus novemcinctus (nine-banded armadillo). RNAcentral's name for it is "lncRNA (ENSDNOG00000052730.1)". Lineage: Eukaryota; Metazoa; Chordata; Mammalia; Cingulata; Dasypodidae. The record is from RNAcentral.